UGGGUCUAGGGAGAGGGUUUUGUUUGCCGUAUUUGGUGCCGGAGCUGGGCGAGGCAGAGGCGAGGGGGGUGAUGGUCAGGUGAGGGGGAGGCGAGGUGGGGGAGUUCGCUUCCGUGGCCUACCGCCGCAGGAGGGGGUGGGGGCCGUCGCCGGAGCCCUGGUAGGAGCGGCGGCCGCUGUCCCUGAUGGAGCAGGCGUUGAGGCCGCUCGUCCACUUCUAGUCGUCGUAACUCCCCCUGUGACAUCGACAGAUAAAGAGCCGGAGUACCACGGGCGGUACGGUCGCCAAAUGCGGUUUCGAAUAACUUCGUAUGUUUCUUGAAUGGAGUGUACCGUUCUCGAAACUCCACUAGAAACAAAGUCCGCUGGUUCUACUCCUUCGUAAGUUACGGAUAAAACGUUUCUACGGCACCAACCGUCAAGGAAAGAGGCUGAGACUUCCGGCAUUUUCGGAACUACUCGCCAAACUCCAGUUGCCAUAAGGUGUGGAACAAAAGGAACUACGUUUUUGACCACUUCAAGAAUGACUACUUCCUCAACUCAAACACUCACUUAUACCAUAUCUUCGAAUAGGAAAAUGUCGGCUCUCCUAGCUACUUAACUUCCUUGUUCUUUUCCGACGAUUCCUAUUGGUCUGAUAAGUAUCACACGAACCAUGUGGUUUAGCAUUGAUGCAUUAAAGUUUGUGCCCCCUCUUCCAUGGGUAACAACUAGAACUCCCCUUCAUACAACCAUAUACGAAACAUCACUUGCCGAUAGGAGGUCAACACCUUAAAUGGGGUCACGAACGGUUCUAUAUACGCUUUGAGUUUCUUCACCCCCUCUUCAAACUUCAACAUCGACAUAGGAACCUGUCACUGCUCCUUAGUAAGUUAUUGUCAAAAAGUUCGUACGGAACCGAGCGGUAAGGAGUCCCGCUGUUCUACACAGUCUUCGAACAGUCAAUGAAACUCGAAUCACUAGAAGGAUGUGACCACGAGUAACCAGGACUACCCUUCUGUGACUCGUCGUUAUAACGCCUGUAUUAAUUACUCGUGCCAAACCUACGUACCCUCCCCAAGGGGAAGUUACGUCUCUUCGACCUUUAAGAUCGCCUCUUCCGUUUCCGAUUUCGUCGCCGUGUCUGUAACCUCAGGGAAGACCAAUGACCACUAUAUCUGAAACAGUAGCCCUUUCUACCUCGUUUCCAAGGACAUCGUCUUGAACAACCCUUCUGACAGGAGGAGAUGAAAAGUCGAUUUACCACACCCGGUACGUCUCGGAAGGACGGAUGUGAACACCUACAAAUGUUGUUCCAGUUCCUCUUCUUGUCGCUAAAGCUCUAGCAGAAGUAGAGAUCGCUGUCCCUGGUCUCGAGUAAGCUGCUGAAGAAGAGACCGUACGGUACCGAGCGGCAAGGGAACCUUCUGCUGUCCUUCCGCAUGGACUUUUUCUUCAAGUUCUAGGCGCCUUAGGGAAGAGAGCAGCGGUAACCAGGGCUACCCUUCUGCCAGUUGUGCCUGCGCUUCUGAAGCGACCGCCAGGUACCGCGGCUGCGCAAAGGCAAGUGGUCGCUCUCCUAGGUCCUCGACCUCUUCUUCUAGCUGCUCUACCGCUUCCCCACCGGACUCUUCCACUUCGUGCUCGACGUGCUCGUGCUCGAGCACGACUAGGCGGCGGGGUCCGGCAUGCCGACGCUGCCCACGCUUCUCUACCCGUGGAGGACCAGGAUGUUGACGCGCCUCACGCUGAAGCUAGACGUGUGGUUCACGCGCGACCCACUCCUCUUCUUCCCUCUACUCCACUUACCCGUUCUACGACGACGACUCCGACGACGGGGUCGCCCCAUGCACACGCUCCCUCUGCAGACGUCCUUCCGGAUCCAUCGCAAACACAACACACACAAGGAACGGUCGACUUCGCACAGACUUAGUACACGACACACCACACUACUAUUUAUUUAGAACGUAGGCUACCAGAACCCUCCAUAAAUAUAUAGGACCACUGUAAAUACACGUUUUAGCAUUCAUAUACCAAAGUCUA
Molecule: ribosomal RNA, 2022 nt
Filed under: Triticum aestivum (bread wheat)
Lineage: Eukaryota; Viridiplantae; Streptophyta; Magnoliopsida; Poales; Poaceae
Description: partial small subunit ribosomal RNA
Source: RNAcentral